UUUCCAGCCAAGUCCUUUCAAAGGAACAGGAAGAGAAAUCAUGUUUUGGCUCUCAUUCCUUUUCGUUUCAGUGGCCAUCAGAGGCAUCCAGGCACAGAUCCAGCUGGUGGAAUCUGGAGGAGAUGUCAAAAGACCUGGAGAGUCCCUCCGUCUCUCCUGCCGAGGCUCUGGAUAUACCUUCAGCAGCUACUGGAUGAGCUGGGUGAGGCAGGCUCCUGGGAAAGGCCUGGAAUGGAUUGCACGGAUAAGCAGUGGUGGUGGGAGCUCACAGUAUUACUCCAACUCCGUGAAAGGGCGCUUCACCAUCUCCAGGGAUGAUUCCAACAGCCUGCUGUAUCUGCAAAUGAACAACCUGAAAGCCGAGGACACUGCCAUGUAUUACUGUGCAAGAGACACAGUGAGAGGAAGUGAAUCUGGAGCCAGACAAAAACAUUUCUUUGCUUCUGACAACUCAGCUGAGUCACCUGGAGAGGAACCGUUUGAAUGCAGUGGCUGCGAUUCGACCUGUUUACAUCGGCGUUGA
Non-coding RNA from Hemicordylus capensis (graceful crag lizard), 523 nucleotides. The record is from the annotation of a RefSeq genome assembly. Lineage: Eukaryota; Metazoa; Chordata; Lepidosauria; Squamata; Cordylidae.